Non-coding RNA from Annulohypoxylon maeteangense, 143 nucleotides. Lineage: Eukaryota; Fungi; Ascomycota; Sordariomycetes; Xylariales; Hypoxylaceae. The record is from the annotation of a RefSeq genome assembly.
UCCUCCGUGGCGCAAUUGGCUAGCGCGUCGUGAGUUCUUCCCCCAUCCCUUGACACCAUCGUGAGGGUUGUCGGUGUAUACUAACCAUAUUCGUAUAGUGACUGUUAAUCAGGAGGUUGACAGUUCAAGCCUGUCCGGGGGAG